AUGAACGCUGGCGGCGUGCCUAAUACAUGCAGGUCGAGCGAACAGACGAGGAGCUUGCUCCUCUGACGUUAGCGGCGGACGGGUGAGUAACACGUGGAUAACCUACCUAUAAGACUGGGAUAACUUCGGGAAACCGGAGCUAAUACCGGAUAAUAUAUUGAACCGCAUGGUUCAAUAGUGAAAGACGGUUUUGCUGUCACUUAUAGAUGGAUCCGCGCCGCAUUAGCUAGUUGGUAAGGUAACGGCUUACCAAGGCGACGAUGCGUAGCCGACCUGAGAGGGUGAUCGGCCACACUGGAACUGAGACACGGUCCAGACUCCUACGGGAGGCAGCAGUAGGGAAUCUUCCGCAAAGGGCGAAAGCCUGACGGAGCAACGCCGCGUGAGUGAUGAAGGUCUUCGGAUCGUAAAACUCUGUUAUUAGGGAAGAACAAAUGUGUAAGUAACUAUGCACGUCUUGACGGUACCUAAUCAGAAAGCCACGGCUAACUACGUG
Molecule: ribosomal RNA, 496 nt
Filed under: uncultured bacterium
Lineage: Bacteria
Description: partial 16S ribosomal RNA
Rfam family: Bacterial small subunit ribosomal RNA
Source: RNAcentral